GAUGAAGAACGCAGCGAAGUGCGAUAAGUAAUGUGAAUUGCAGAAUUCCGUGAAUCAUCGAAUCUUUGAACGCAAAUUGCACUUUCUGGUAUUCCGGAGAGUACGCCUGUUUGAGGGUCAGUGUAAUAAAAAUAAAUCGUGGUUGUUUGCCACCUUUUCGUGGUGACGCUUCGGAAUUGAGUCGUCUUUACCCCUUCGGGUUAAGUGACUUAAAAUUUUUUCAUACGAUUUCGAAACGUAUUUAAUGUAUUAUGUACGUUCACGAAUAUCGAAUGUUUAUUAGGUGCGGUCAUUUUUCAUGAAUUCGCGUCUAUAAUUUUUUUUUUUUUUGACCUCAAAUCAGGUAAGAAUACCCGCUGAACUUAAGCAUAUCAAUAAGCGGAGGA
Molecule: unclassified non-coding RNA, 386 nt
Filed under: soil metagenome
Description: partial contains 5.8S ribosomal RNA, internal transcribed spacer 2, and large subunit ribosomal RNA
Rfam family: 5.8S ribosomal RNA (bases 1-120)
Source: RNAcentral